This 682-nucleotide ribosomal RNA is filed under the name Loigolactobacillus coryniformis subsp. torquens. RNAcentral describes it as "bacterial SSU rRNA". It matches the Rfam family "Bacterial small subunit ribosomal RNA", at positions 47 to 708 of the family's 1533-position model. Lineage: Bacteria; Bacillati; Bacillota; Bacilli; Lactobacillales; Lactobacillaceae. The record is from RNAcentral.
UCGAACGCACUGACGUCGACCGAAGCUGCUUGCAGUGGACGUUGAUUGACGUGAGUGGCGGACGGGUGAGUAACACGUGGGUAACCUACCCUUAAGUGGGGGAUAACAUUUGGAAACAGAUGCUAAUACCGCAUAACCAUUCAGACCACAUGGUCUGAAUGUAAAAGACGGCCUUUGGCUGUCACUUUUGGACGGACCCGCGGCGUAUUAGUUAGUUGGUAAGGUAACGGCUUACCAAGACAAUGAUACGUAGCCGACCUGAGAGGGUAAUCGGCCACAUUGGGACUGAGACACGGCCCAAACUCCUACGGGAGGCAGCAGUAGGGAAUCUUCCACAAUGGACGAAAGUCUGAUGGAGCAACGCCGCGUGAGUGAAGAAGGUUUUAGGAUCGUAAAACUCUGUUGUUGGAGAAGAACAGGGACUAGAGUAACUGUUAGUCCUUUGACGGUAUCCAACCAGAAAGCCACGGCUAACUACGUGCCAGCAGCCGCGGUAAUACGUAGGUGGCAAGCGUUGUCCGGAUUUAUUGGGCGUAAAGCGAGCGCAGGCGGUUUUUUAAGUCUGAUGUGAAAGCCUUCGGCUUAACCGAAGAAGUGCAUUAGAAACUGGGAAACUUGAGUGCAGAAGAGGACAGUGGAACUCCAUGUGUAGCGGUGAAAUGCGUAGAUAUAUGGAAGAACA